GUAUAGNUAAGAUUUGAUAUCGACUAUGUCGAAUAAAGUUCAAGUAGAAAGUUGAUUAUGACAAUUUUCUAUCUUUGUGUUUUGACCAAAUUACGUGCCAGCAGUCGCGGUAAUACGUAGAAGACUAGUGUUAUUCAUCUUUAUUAGGUUUAAAGGGUACCUAGACGGCACUAUUAGCCCAAAACGGUUUUGCUAGAGUUUUAAAGGGAAGGUGAGAAUUUAUGGAGUAGAGAUGAAAUUUGUUGAUACCAUAAAGACUGAUAGCGGUGAAAACGACCUUCUAGCUAAUAACUGACGUUGAGGGACGAAGGCUCGGGUAGCGAACAGGAUUAGAUACCCUAAUAGUCCGAGCAGAAAAUUAUGAAUGCCAUAGACAUGUUGAUUUUAUGUCUAUAAAUGAAAGUGUAAGCAUUUCACCUUAAGAGUAAUGCGGCAACGCAGGAACUGAAAUCAUUAGACCGUUUCUGAAACCAGUAGUGAAGUAUGUUGUUCAAUUCGGUAACCCACGAAAAAUCUUACCACAGUUUGAAUAUUUUACAAGAGUUGCACGGCUGUCUUCAGUUAAUGUCGUGAGAUUUUGGUUAGCUCCAUAAAAUUAACGAAAGCCCUAGCUUUA
This 616-nucleotide ribosomal RNA is filed under the name Lichinodium ahlneri. RNAcentral's name for it is "SSU rRNA". It matches the Rfam family "Bacterial small subunit ribosomal RNA", at positions 410 to 1113 of the family's 1533-position model. The record is from RNAcentral. Lineage: Eukaryota; Fungi; Ascomycota; Leotiomycetes; Leotiales; Lichinodiaceae.